RNAcentral lists this ribosomal RNA (471 nucleotides) under uncultured bacterium. Its description in RNAcentral is "bacterial SSU rRNA". It matches the Rfam family "Bacterial small subunit ribosomal RNA", at positions 34 to 507 of the family's 1533-position model. The record is from RNAcentral.
CGUUUGCGGCGGGCCUAACACAUGCAAGUCGAACGCACUAGCAAUAGUGAGUGGCGCACGGGUGCGUAACACGUGGGUAAUCAACCCUUCAGCUUGGGAUAACGACUUGAAAGGGUCGCUAAUACCGGAUACGGCGCGGGAGGCUUCGGCUUCUCACGAGAAAGCCUCGCAAGGGGCACUGAAGGACGAGCCUGCGGCCCAUCAGCUAGUUGGUGAGGUAAGAGCUCACCAAGGCGAAGACGGGUAGCUGGUCUGAGAGGAUGAUCAGCCACACUGGAACUGAGACACGGUCCAGACUCCUACGGGAGGCAGCAGUGGGGAAUAUUGCGCAAUGGGCGAAAGCCUGACGCAGCCACGCCGCGUGAGCGAUGAAGGCCUUCGGGUCGUAAAGCUCUGUGGGGAGAGACGAAGAAAGCCCGUGAAGAGCGGGCCUUGACGGUAUCUCCUUAGCAAGCACCGGCUAACUCCGUG